AGUCAAUAAUUCAUUUCUUCUAACGGAGGGAUCUUU
This 36-nucleotide ribosomal RNA is filed under the name Trichocladium sp. B(2010). Its description in RNAcentral is "partial 18S ribosomal RNA". The record is from RNAcentral. Lineage: Eukaryota; Fungi; Ascomycota; Sordariomycetes; Sordariales; Chaetomiaceae.